AAUAGAUACCCAGGUAGUCCACGCCGUAAACGAUGAGUGCUAAGUGUUAGGGGGUUUCCGCCCCUUAGUGCUGCAGCUAACGCAUUAAGCACUCCGCCUGGGGAGUACGGUCGCAAGACUGAAACUCAAAGGAAUUGACGGGGGCCCGCACAAGCGGUGGAGCAUGUGGUUUAAUUCGAAGCAACGCGAAGAACCUUACCAGGUCUUGACAUCCCAUUGACCACUAUGGAGACAUAGUUUUCCCUUCGGGGACAACGGUGACAGGUGGUGCAUGGUUGUCGUCAGCUCGUGUCGUGAGAUGUUGGGUUAAGUCCCGCAACGAGCGCAACCCUUGUUCUUAGUUGCCAUCAUUUAGUUGGGCACUCUAAGGAGACUGCCGGUGACAAACCGGAGGAAGGUGGGGAUGACGUCAAAUCAUCAUGCCCCUUAUGACCUGGGCUACACACGUGCUACAAUGGACGGUACAAACGGUUGCCAACCCGCGAGGGGGGAGCUAAUCCGAUAAAACCGUUCUCAGUUCGGAUUGUAGGCUGCAACUCGCCUACAUGGAACG
This 553-nucleotide ribosomal RNA is filed under the name uncultured bacterium. RNAcentral's name for it is "bacterial SSU rRNA". It matches the Rfam family "Bacterial small subunit ribosomal RNA", at positions 777 to 1327 of the family's 1533-position model. The record is from RNAcentral.